Molecule: RNA transcript, 7164 nt
Organism: Lagopus leucura (white-tailed ptarmigan)
Lineage: Eukaryota; Metazoa; Chordata; Aves; Galliformes; Phasianidae
Gene: TOPBP1
Gene name: DNA topoisomerase II binding protein 1
Exons: 28
Source: RefSeq, a predicted model, not a curated record
GGGGAAGGGGGGGGCUGCCGGUGGGAUCGGCGCGCGAAUCUCACCGGGGUUUGCUUCUCAGUUAAAGGAUGAAAGGCAGCAAGGAGCUGUUCUUGGUGAAAUUCGUAAAAUCUUCUGGGAGUUCGGAGUAUUUCUUGAAAGCUUUGGAGUCUAUAAAAGAAUUUCAGUCUGAAGAACAUCUCCAGAUUCUUGAAGAAGAAGCAGCACUCAAUAUAAAAGAAAAUGAUAAAUCCCUUUACAUUUGUGAUCCUUUCACUGGUGUUGUUUUUAAUCAUCUCCAAAAGCUUGGUUGUAGAAUUGUUGGACCACAGGUAGUCCUGUAUUGCAUGCAAUCCCAGAGAUGCGUCCCAAGAGCUGAGUAUCCCGUGUAUAACAUGACCAUGGCUGACGUAACGAUAUCCUGUACCACCCUAGAUAAAGAUGUUCGGGAAGAAGUUCAUAAAUAUGUACAAAUGAUGGGUGGACGUGUGUACAGAGACCUCAAUAUGUCAGUAACUCAUCUUAUAGCAGGAGAAGUUGGCAGCAAGAAAUACUUAGUAGCUGCUUCUCUGAAAAAACCUAUUUUGCUUCCUUCUUGGGUUAAGACACUAUGGGAUAAAUCUCAGCAAAGCAUGAUGAGAUAUACGGAUGUUAACAUGGAAGACUACACUUGUCCUGUGUUUCUUGGCUGUACGAUUUGUGUAACUGGCUUAAGUAGUUCAGACAGGAAAGAAGUCCAGCGCCUCACGGCUGAACAUGGUGGGCAGUAUUCAGGGCAACUCAAGAUGAAUGAAUGUACUCACCUCAUAGUUCAAGAGCCAAAAGGUCAGAAGUACGAAUGUGCCAAAAAAUGGAACGUCCACUGUGUGCCUGUGCAGUGGUUUUCUGACAGCAUUGAGAAGGGCUUCUGUCAAGAUGAGGCAAUGUAUAAAAUAGAGACUGGAUCAAAACUAAGCAGUACACCCAGUACCUCCACACCCACCAGUCAUGCCAGCAAGCUUGACACUCAUUCCCUUUCGGACGUCAGCUGCAUUUCCAAUGUAAAUUUGAGUAGAGUUAAUGAAACUGCCUGUAGUUCUGCAACGAGCAGCAGACUGGAUCCUCCUCCUGAUGAGUUGGAGAACUUGGACAUAAGCACUUUUCAAGCUCCUGAAGAUUUAUUAGAUGGCUGUCGAGUCUAUCUGUGUGGCUUCAGUGGUAGGAAGCUGGACAAGAUGAGAAGGCUUAUUAACUGCGGUGGUGGUGUUCGAUUUAAUCAGCUUAAUGAGGAUGUUACCCACAUCAUUCUGGGGGAAGACAGUGGCGAGCUGAAGCACUUUUUGGACAAGACGCUUCACAGGCCUCAUAUAGUGACAGCAAAGUGGUUACUGGAGUCGUUCAGUAAAGGCUAUCUCUGUCCAGUGGAGCAAUAUAUCCCUCAAAACUACCAGCUGUUAGUGAAUACAGUUUUGGAACAGCCUGAUGCAAAGUUAGUUCUUCCCAAAAACAACAGCAUCUUGAAGAAGAAAGCCGUGAAUGUUGUAAAGUUCCAGCAAGCUGCAGAAGACGACUUCCUCUCUCAGUAUGUCAGUAAUGAUUCUACAUUAGUUGAAGCUGAGAAACUAGCAUGUGGUAGCUUCAAUGAUGUUACUCAUGUGACUGUUCAAGAAGAAAAUCAGUCUUCUGUCUGUAAUGGUUCUUUGGGAGAGCCUUCUGCACUGGAUGAAGGAGGUGUAUUUGCCAGGAAGAGAUUUCUUCUUUUGGGUUUUGGAGAAGAAGAUGAGUCUUGCAUUGCAGAUCUGAUUAAGGAGCAUGCUGGGAAAACUGUGCCGCUGCAAAGCAGAAUCAUUGCAGACUAUGCUGUGGUACCUUUAUUGGGGUGCUCUGUGGAGCCAACUGUUGGUGAUGUUGUCACGAAUAUAUGGCUGGUAACGUGUGUGGAACAGCAGCUCCUCUUAGAUCCCCAAUCCAAUCCACUUUUCACACCAGUCCCAGUAAUGGAAGGAGUUACUCCUUUGGUGGACUGCGUUCUUUCUUUUAGCCAAUUUACUGGUGCAGAGAGAGACUCACUGGUUUAUCUGGCAGGACUUCUAGGAGCAAGAGUCCAAGAAUUCUUCGUGAGAAAAGCCAAUGCAAAAAAGGGAAUGUUUGCAAGUACCCAUCUUGUGGCGAAAGAGCCGGAUGGUUCCAAGUAUGAGGCUGCAAAGAAGUGGAAUUUGCCUGCAGUCACUGUAGCUUGGCUUUUGCAGUCUGCAAGGACAGGAAAGAGAGCAGACGAAAGCAAGUUUUUGGUUGAACAUGCAGAUGCUGAAGAUGAGAGUUCCAUUACUAAGCUUAGCAAGACACCACCAACUACUAAAUUUCCUGAUUCUCCAGAACGACCUGCUUAUCUCCACAAAGCUGGAAAAAAGCCAGCCGUCACCCCUCUUGAUAUCAACAGGUUUCAGAGUAAAGCUUUCCAAGCUGUAAUCUCCCAUCAUGCUGGGAAAACAGCAACUCCUCCUGCAGCAGGAGGGCUGCUACAAAAAGAACCAUCUUUACACCUUGAUACACCAUCAAAAUUUCUUUCCAAAGACAAGUUAUUCAAGCCUUCUUUUGAUGUAAAGGAUGCUCUGGCAGUUUUGGAUACUCCAGGAGGUCUUGGUCAAAGGAACAGGAAGCUGAGCACCCCUCUUUCUGAAGUCAUUGGCAGAAACCUGAAAUUGGCACUGGCAAACAGCACUCGGAAUACAGAAGCUCUUACUGCCAGCCCUCAGCUGAAGGCUGCACAGCCAGAAGUGGAAGAAGAGCUCAAGCCUCUAGCUGGUGUUGUUAUAUGUGUUAGUAAAAAACUUAGUAAGAAGCAGAGUGAAUUGAAUGCUAUAGCAGCUUCUCUUGGUGCAGACUACAGAUGGUGUUUUGAUGAAACAGUAACGCACUUCAUCUACAAGGGAGGGCAAAACGACAACAACAAGGAAUACAGAUCAGUUAAAGAACGAGGAAUACAUAUUGUUUCAGAACACUGGCUUUUAGAGUGUGCCCAAGAAUAUAAACGGCUUCCUGAAUCUCUCUUUCCUCACACUUACAAUCCCAAAAUGAGCCUGGACAUCAGUGCGGUGCAAGAUUUCAGGCCCUCCUCUUCCAGUAAGCUUCCACCCACUGGAAAACCAGCAGAAGAAAGUGAGGUUAUUCCAGUGGAUGAAGAUGAUGCUGAAGAUGAUUUAACUACUGACCAAAUAAAGGAAACAGUUGGCACAGGAGGAGAACACGUUGGAAUAAGUGAAUCCAGGGGAGUUUUAACCCAGGCACUGGAAAUGAGGGAGAGCUUCCAGAGGCAGCUGCAGGAGAUCAUGUCUGCCACAUCAAUAGUGAAACCACAAGGACAAAGAGGAUCCCUUUCAAGGAACAGUUUUGACAGUUCUCCAGCCACUCCUGAUAGCGCACGGUCUGUGCGAAACGGCCGCAGCAGGGCCUUGGAAGCUCUAAGGCAAUCUCGUCAGGCUCUCACAGAUAUCAACACGGAGCCAUCCCAGAGUGAGCAGAUCAUCUGGGAUGAUCCUACAGCAAGGGAGGAGAGAGCGAGACUUGUCAGCAACUUUCAGUGGCCUAACAGUCCUUCCCAGUACGCAGAGCAAGCUCAGAGUAACGUUAAUAGGAACGUGGAUGAGUCUACCUUCAAAGGGUCCAUAGCUGACGCAGAGAUUGCUGGUAUAGCUGUUCCUGAGGCUGGAGAUGGAGAUACGAUUGAAGAUCUGAAGAAUCCUGUAUGUAGAGAUCCUGAAACACCCGUUAAAGAUCACUUGAUCCCCACCCCGCAGGCUCCCAGCAUUGCAUUCCCACUGGCUAACCCUCCUGUGGCACCACAGCCCCAAGAAAAGGCUGUUACAGAAGAUGAGAAGGUAGAUGAAGAACCAGAAAAAUGCCGUAAAUUUCAGCUGUCUUCUCUUAAUCCUCAAGAAAGAUUUGACUAUUGCCAUCUGAUUGAGGAAUUAGGCGGAAUAGUACUUGAGAAACAGUGCUUUGAUCCAAGUUGCACACACAUCGUUGUGGGACAUCCUCUUCGAAAUGAGAAAUUCCUGGCCUCGAUGGCAGCUGGAAAAUGGGUGCUUCAUCGUUCCUACCUGGAGGCAUGCAGAGGAGCUGGCUGCUUUGUUCAGGAAGAAGAUUAUGAGUGGGGAAGUGAUUCCAUACUUAAUGUUUUGCCUGGGAUCAAUGUAAACCAGAAGAAGCUAGCGCUUGCAGCCAUGAGGUGGAGGAAAAAAAUUCACAAAGGAAGGCAAGAAACUGGAAUUACUGAGGGAGCGUUCAGUGGCUGGAAAGUGAUCCUGAAUGUUGACCACACCAAGGAAGCAGGAUUCCGACGCCUUCUUCAGUCAGGAGGAGCAAAAGUGUUCUCUGGUCAUUCUGUGUCUUUCUUCAAAGAAGCGACUCAUCUCUUUGCUGACUUCAGUAAGCUGAAGCCAGAUGACACCAGGGUGAACGUAGCAGAGGCGGCAGCCCAGGGAGUGAACUGCUUGAAGCCAGAGUACAUUGCAGACUUCCUCAUCCAGGAUCCACCUCCCCCAAUGGAGUCUUACUGCCUGCCGGAAGCUGAGCCUUGCUUCCAGAACAGCAAAGAACUUGGGACUGGAUUAUCCCAGAAAAGAAAAGCACCGGGAGAAAUGAGCAGAGUCAAGCGAUCCAGAAUGCACUGAGAAAGCUCUGUGCUUUUAAGUUGUACAUUUUAUAUAUUCGUAUUUAUAUUUUUUCAACCUCACCACAAAAAUUAAAAGCUUUGAAUCUCACUUCUCAUUUGUCCUGAGAUUAAAAUAGGUUUACAGUAAUAGGGAAGAUCUUUUUGGUUACCGAUGCUGUUAACGAUUUGGUUUAGGGACAGCACUGUAUAAUAAAUAAAUACUUUGAGAUGCUCAGCACACUUUAUGUUUGUUUUGGUAGGGAAAACACCACUUGAUGAGAAUGCCAUUGCCAUGGAUGGUCAUUCCAGUAGUGGACUUAUAUGUUGAGUAUUUCCUCUUGGUUUUGCCCCAAGAGAAAAUACCAAAAGAGAAACUAGAUUUAAAAAAACAAAACCCAAAAAAAGAUUAUACAUUUUAGUAGUAAAUUAUUCCAUAAAAAACUUUAAGUUUUUGCCAUUCCAAAUAUUAACAAAUGUGUUAGUGAAUGCCAGUUGUACCACUGCAUCUCUGUCUUGCUUUGGGGUCACAUACUGAAGAUAACGCUGUUUACUAAUGCCUUAAAUAUCAGUUUGGAAUUAACUUUGCAUUGCACUGGUGAUGUUGCUUUGGGAUUUUAUAUAGGUAAUGGGAAGUAGGAGACAAGAACAAGGGGCUGUAGGGUAUUUUUGUUGUUGUUGUUUAUUUUUUCUCCUUUGCUCUCAGAAAAUGCUGCUAUGGAAGGGUAGUGCUACUAUUGGCAUUUCACAGGUAAGCUUCAGAGAUGUCCAGGAGCCACACAAGUCCUGUGAGUACUGUGACACAAGGGGCUGGACAGAAGGGCAGACUUGGUACAGUGGGCUUCUGAGUGUGAGCAGCUCUCCAGGUAUUUCUUCAGCACUCUUCUGAAGAUUUGUACAGCUGCAGACAGUGCCCAAGUGGACACUUGCAAUGCAAGAGCCUGGGCUGUCACAUAGGCAGGGCACAAGUGAAGCAAAGAGGAUGGCAAGAAAACUUCUGUCCCAGGUCUUGAACACCACAGUGACAGCGUGCUGCUGUCAGAUCACAAGUGCCUGCUGUCAUUGCUUGGAGUCACUGGACAGAUGAACACAAACAGACAAACCUGGAGGUAUAAUUCAGUUGCUGCUGUUAAGAUAAAUUUAUUUUCUUCAGCUUUCUUUACAGGAAACAUCACAAAAGUGCUUUACAGAGUUUGAUACCAUUACUCUAACAUGGGACAAAAGUAGAACAGAGGUGUGAACUGCACAGUCAGAAGUUGGCAUAUGCAGAAACCAUGAGAGGGAAACCAAGCACCAGAACUUCCUCUAAGAACACCUCCGGCCUCACAGCACCCUUGUGAGGUAUUUUUUGCACAGCUGGGGAAGCUGAGGCAAAGUGAAACCAAGUUACUCCAAGUUAACACAGCAACUCAGAGGGAAACUAAGGCCAAACCCCACUCUCUUGGCCCUGCACGCUGGCUUCAGAACAUUUGCUUCUUUCCACUGCAUAAGGUUGUAUGAUGAUGAUGACACAUUUCCAUUCCUGCUUUUGAGAUGCACUUUUUCUGGUGAUUUAUUAAUACUGUGGUGCAUUUUUAAUACUUAUAUGAAAGCUUGCUUCCUAAUAAGACCACUGUACUAUCUUGGAAUUUGUCCUUUCCUGGUUCCCUUUCUAGGUAAGCGAUUACACACAGCCUCAUACCAAGGCUGAACUCCACCCUCUCUCUGGGCAGAAAGAAACAGGACGCUCUCUCGAACUAUUGAACUUGAAAUACUUCUGCUGAGUUACAGGGAUUCAUCACUUCUGAAAGCAGUGCUGAUCUCUGCAGCACUGUCCUUCCUACCCAAGUGCUCACGCUCCGUUCCCUGCCUCCUGCUGUGCAUUCAGUACUGCCACGUAGCAUAAAGCCUCCCUAUUCCUUCUCAUGUCUCUCCUGGUGUUAUACUUAAUUUCCAUCUUCUCUUCUUAUUAUAAGAUUAUUUUCUAUUCUGCUUCCCACAGAACAUGGUGAAGCUACAUCUGUGCUUUAGAAGCCAAGCUAUAAUACAUGAAAAUUACCUUAACCCAAACCAGUUCUGUUGUCUUCUGUCUUUUCCCAUCUGCUACAGCUUGCAGCUUCUUAUGUUAUAGCCAGACUAAAAUGACUUUUUGGUUUUUCCUGAAUAAUGUACUGGCAAACACGUCCGAUUUUCUGCUCCCUUUUACACACUUGCUUUCUGAAUCCAAAAACCACAUGCAAGUCUAACACUGCUUGAGCAGAGUUAAAUAUAUUUAUUGCAAAAGCAAACUCCAUGAUGUGAAGUCCUAUCGAUUUUGUAUCAUCUCCCUGACCUAAACUGUAUACAAACCUUUGCCUUGUUGUGGUGAAAAUCAACAGAUAAUCAAACACUAAAAAAAAAAAAAAAACCCUCAGCCCCUGUAACAUCAGAUUUCUAACACAGUUUGUGCUUUUAGUAAUUCAGCUAUUCCUAAGCUUAAGAGUAACCUUGGACGUGACUGCUACAGCUAACUGCAAAGACAGAACUGAGGCAGCAGGAGAGGGCCACUUCUCAGCAGUUCCCUUUACCUGUGGGUA